RNAcentral lists this ribosomal RNA (426 nucleotides) under uncultured bacterium. RNAcentral describes it as "bacterial SSU rRNA". It matches the Rfam family "Bacterial small subunit ribosomal RNA", at positions 354 to 777 of the family's 1533-position model. The record is from RNAcentral.
GUGAGGAAUAUUGGUCAAUGGACGAGAGUCUGAACCAGCCAAGUAGCGUGAAGGAUGACUGCCCUAUGGGUUGUAAACUUCUUUUAUAUGGGAAUAAAGUGCAGUAUGUAUACUGUUUUGUAUGUACCAUACGAAUAAGGAUCGGCUAACUCCGUGCCAGCAGCCGCGGUAAUACGGAGGAUCCGAGCGUUAUCCGGAUUUAUUGGGUUUAAAGGGAGCGUAGGCGGAUUAUUAAGUCAGUUGUGAAAGUUUGCGGCUCAACCGUAAAAUUGCAGUUGAUACUGGUAGUCUUGAGUGCAGCAGAGGUAGGCGGAAUUCGUGGUGUAGCGGUGAAAUGCUUAGAUAUCACGAAGAACUCCGAUUGCGAAGGCAGCUUACUGGACUGUAACUGACGCUGAUGCUCGAAAGUGUGGGUAUCAAACAGGA